Molecule: ribosomal RNA, 484 nt
Filed under: uncultured bacterium
Lineage: Bacteria
Description: partial 16S ribosomal RNA
Rfam family: Bacterial small subunit ribosomal RNA
Source: RNAcentral
AUUGAACGCUGGCGGCAGGCCUAACACAUGCAAGUCGAGCGGUAGAGAGAAGCUUGCUUCUCUUGAGAGCGGCGGACGGGUGAGUAAUGCCUAGGAAUCUGCCUGGUAGUGGGGGAUAACGUUCGGAAACGGACGCUAAUACCGCAUACGUCCUACGGGAGAAAGCAGGGGACCUUCGGGCCUUGCGCUAUCAGAUGAGCCUAGGUCGGAUUAGCUAGUUGGUGGGGUAAUGGCUCACCAAGGCGACGAUCCGUAACUGGUCUGAGAGGAUGAUCAGUCACACUGGAACUGAGACACGGUCCAGACUCCUACGGGAGGCAGCAGUGGGGAAUAUUGGACAAUGGGCGAAAGCCUGAUCCAGCCAUGCCGCGUGUGUGAAGAAGGUCUUCGGAUUGUAAAGCACUUUAAGUUGGGGGGAAGGGCAGUAAAUUAAUACUUUGCUGUUUUGACGUUACCGACAGAAUAAGCACCGGCUAGCUCUGUG